GGCUUAACACAUGCAAGUCGAGGGGCAGCAUGGUCUUAGCUUGCUAAGGCUGAUGGCGACCGGCGCACGGGUGAGUAACACGUAUCCAACCUGCCGUCUACUCUUGGCCAGCCUUCUGAAAGGAAGAUUAAUCCAGGAUGGCAUCAUGAGUUCACAUGUCCGCAUGAUUAAAGGUAUUUUCCGGUAGACGAUGGGGAUGCGUUCCAUUAGAUAGUAGGCGGGGUAACGGCCCACCUAGUCAACGAUGGAUAGGGGUUCUGAGAGGAAGGUCCCCCACAUUGGAACUGAGACACGGUCCAAACUCCUACGGGAGGCAGCAGUGAGGAAUAUUGGUCAAUGGGCGAUGGCCUGAACCAGCCAAGUAGCGUGAAGGAUGACUGCCCUAUGGGUUGUAAACUUCUUUUAUAAAGGAAUAAAGUCGGGUAUGCAUACCCGUUUGCAUGUACUUUAUGAAUAAGGAUCGGCUAACUCCGUGCCAGCAGCCGCGGUAAUACGGAGGAUCCGAGCGUUAUCCGGAUUUAUUGGGUUUAAAGGGAGCGUAGAUGGAUGUUUAAGUCAGUUGUGAAAGUUUGCGGCUCAACCGUAAAAUUGCAGUUGAUACUGGAUGUCUUGAGUGCAGUUGAGGCAGGCGGAAUUCGUGGUGUAGCGGUGAAAUGCUUAGAUAUCACGAAGAACUCCGAUUGCGAAG
Molecule: ribosomal RNA, 688 nt
Filed under: uncultured Bacteroidales bacterium
Lineage: Bacteria; Pseudomonadati; Bacteroidota; Bacteroidia; Bacteroidales
Description: bacterial SSU rRNA
Rfam family: Bacterial small subunit ribosomal RNA
Source: RNAcentral